This 253-nucleotide ribosomal RNA is filed under the name uncultured bacterium. Its description in RNAcentral is "partial 16S ribosomal RNA". It matches the Rfam family "Bacterial small subunit ribosomal RNA", at positions 524 to 776 of the family's 1533-position model. The record is from RNAcentral.
UACGUAGGGGGCAAGCGUUGUCCGGAAUCAUUGGCGUAAAGCGCGUGUAGGCGGCCAGAAAAGUCCGCUGUGAAAACUCGAGGCUCAACUUCGAGCUGUCGGUGGAAACUUUCUGGCUAGAGUCCGGAAGAGGAGAAUGGAAUUCCUGGUGUAGCGGUGAAAUGCGCAGAUAUCAGGAAGAACACCCGUGGCGAAGGCGGUUCUCUGGGACGGUACUGACGCUGGAGACGCGAAAGCGUGGGGAGCGAACAGG